Molecule: ribosomal RNA, 468 nt
Filed under: uncultured bacterium
Lineage: Bacteria
Description: partial 16S ribosomal RNA
Rfam family: Bacterial small subunit ribosomal RNA
Source: RNAcentral
GACGAACGCUGGCGGCGUGCUUAACACAUGCAAGUCGAACGGAAAGGCCCUGCUUUUGUGGGGUGCUCGAGUGGCGAACGGGUGAGUAACACGUGAGUAACCUGCCCUUGACUUUGGGAUAACUUCAGGAAACUGGGGCUAAUACCGGAUAGGAGCUCCUGCUGCAUGGUGGUGGUUGGAAAGUUUCGGCGGUUGGGGAUGGACUCGCGGCUUAUCAGCUUGUUGGUGGGGUAGUGGCUUACCAAGGCUUUGACGGGUAGCCGGCCUGAGAGGGUGACCGGCCACAUUGGGACUGAGAUACGGCACAGACUCCUACGGGAGGCAGCAGUGGAGAAUAUUGCACAAUGGGCGGAAGCCUGAUGCAGCAACGCCGCGUGCGGGAUGACGGCCUUCGGGGUGUAAACCGCUUUCGCCUGUGACGAAGCGUGAGUGACGGUAAUGGGUAAAGAAGCACCGGCUAACUACGUG